RNAcentral lists this ribosomal RNA (1491 nucleotides) under Triticum aestivum (bread wheat). RNAcentral's name for it is "partial small subunit ribosomal RNA". Lineage: Eukaryota; Viridiplantae; Streptophyta; Magnoliopsida; Poales; Poaceae. The record is from RNAcentral.
AUGGCACCAACGUCCCUGCAGAGGCCGAGGAAGCCGAGGUGCCCCUCCCACCCCAUGCUCUCUCUCUCCCCUGCCCUCCUCUCCCUCCUCCUCCUAGUCCCCUUCCUCUACCUCCUCAUCCACCGUUCCGCGUGCUCCCCGCCCUUCAGCAGCCUCACGACCGCCAGGCGUUCAUCCUCGAGCGUCAGCGGCUUCGCCGGAGACCUUCGCGACAUCGAGUUCUCGUGGAACCACCUGCCGUUCAUGUCGUCGAAGCCGCCCCUCGCCAAGCUCAAGAUCGCCGUGUUCUCGCGGAAGUGGCCCGUGGCCACGGCCCCCGGCGGCAUGGAGCGGCACGCGCACACGCUGCACACGGCGCUCGCCGCGCGGGGCCACCGCGUCCACGUGUUCACCUCGCCUCCACCGCAUACCGAGGCCGCGCCCUCGCCCUCCGCCGAUGGUCCUCAGCUGCAUUUCCUUGACGGCACCCCCGGCCAGUGGCGGUGCGACGAGGCGUGGAAGCUGUACGAGGCUGAGGGCGACAACGAUCCAUUCGACGUCAUCCACUCCGAGAGCGUGGCGGUGUUCCACCGGUACGCGCGCGGCGUGCCCAACCUGGUGGUGUCGUGGCACGGAAUCUCCCUGGAGGCGCUGCACUCGGGCAUCUACCAGGACCUCGCCCGCGGCGAGGACGAGCCCAUGUCGCCGGCGUUCAACCAGAGCCUGUCGCAGUCGGUGCACCGGGUGCUGUCCGAGGUGCGCUUCUUCCGGAGCUACGCGCACCAGGUGGCCAUCAGCGACUCCACCGGGGAGAUGCUCCGCGACGUGUACCAGAUCCCCGGCCGCCGCGUGCACGUAAUCCUGAACGGUGUGGACGAGGCGCAGUUCACUCCGGACACGGAGCUCGGCCGCGCCUUCCGGGAAGAGAUCGGGCUCCCCAAGAGCGCCGACCUCGUGCUCGGCGUCUCCGGGAGGCUCGUCAAGGACAAGGGCCACCCGCUGCUCUACGAGGCCUUCUCCAAGCUCGCCCUCCGCCACCCGAACGUGUACCUCCUCGUCGCCGGCAAGGGGCCGUGGGAGUCGAGGUACAUGGACCUGGGACGCAACGCCAAGGUGCUUGGCGCGGUGCCGCCUGGGAAGCUCAGGGCGUUCUACAACGCGCUGGACGUGUUCGUGGACCCGACGCUGCGGCCGCAGGGCCUGGACCUGACGCUCAUGGAGGCGAUGCAAUGCGGCAAGCCGGUGGUGGCCACGCGGUUCCCGAGCAUCAAGGGAAGCAUCGUGGUGGACGAGGAGUUCGGCCACAUGUUCGCGCCCAACGUGGAGUCGCUGCUCGAGAGUCUGGAGGCGGUGGUGCAGGAUGGCGCCCGGCGCGCCGCGGAGCGCGGCCGGGCGUGCAGGGAGUACGCCAGGUCCAUGUUCGCGGCCACCAAGAUGGCACUAGCGUACGAGAGGCUCUUCCUUUGUGUCAAGAACGAGACCUUCUGUGCGUACCCUUCUGAGUUUGAUUAG